AAGACAUCCAUGUGCAUACAGAGUAUUUGAAAAAAAAUCAAUUUAGAUUGUUAAAUGUAGUGUGGAGAGGUUUUCACGUUGCUUCUCAUUAACAUGGAACUUUCUGCAAGUUUCUGUGCACCCCUGCCUUUUGUAAAGUUGACUUUAACUAAGGAAACCAGGUAUGAUUAAAAGAGAAUAGGAUAGAGGGAGGAGCCAAGAUGGCCGAAUAGGAACAGCUCCGGUCUACAGCUCCCAGCCUGAGCGACGCAGAAGACGGUGAUUUCUGCAUUUCCAUCUGAGCCAUGGAAGAUGUGCCUGCUUCCCCUUCACCUUCCACUACGAUUGAAAAUUUCCUGAGACCUCCUCAGAAGCCGAGCAGGUGCCAGCUUCAUGCUUCCUUUACAGCCUGUGGAAGCGUGAGCCAAUUAAACCUCUUCUCUUUAUAAAUUACCCAGUCUCAUGUAUUUCUUUAUAGCAAUAUAAAAACAGACUAAUACAGCCAAGAU
RNAcentral lists this long non-coding RNA (488 nucleotides) under Homo sapiens (human). Its description in RNAcentral is "HSALNT0392432". The record is from RNAcentral. Lineage: Eukaryota; Metazoa; Chordata; Mammalia; Primates; Hominidae.